RNAcentral lists this long non-coding RNA (309 nucleotides) under Mytilus galloprovincialis (Mediterranean mussel). Lineage: Eukaryota; Metazoa; Mollusca; Bivalvia; Mytilida; Mytilidae. The record is from RNAcentral.
UUUGCUUUUUAAGACUCCAUAAUAAUUAUGUUGGACUUGAUCUUUUCCCAAAGUGGUUGACUGUCAAUAGUUCGAAUUGGUCCAGUCAACAAAAUUAUAAAAGGCAUUUUUUUCGGGGGCGACUGACACUCUCUCUUGCGAUCUUUUACGUUUCCAGCCCCUAUCCAUAUACCCCUACCCCAACGCAUGCUCCCCUAGUCUCACUUCCCCACCCCCUUGGCCUUGAUCAGAGAUAGAAAAUCAGUGAAACAAAAAUUGAGAAUGUUGUUUUUAGGGUGAUUUGAAAUAACUGAUGCACGGUGAUUACAG